AUUGAACGCUGGCGGCAGGCCUAACACAUGCAAGUCGAGCGGAUGAAGGGAGCUUGCUCCUGGAUUCAGCGGCGGACGGGUGAGUAAUGCCUAUGAAUCUGCCUGGUAGUGGGGGAUAACGUCCGGAAACGGGCGCUAAUACCGCAUACGUCCUGAGGGAGAAAGUGGGUGAUCUUCGGACCUCACGCUAUCAGAUGAGCCUAGGUCGGAUUAGCUAGUUGGUGGGGUAAAGGCCUACCAAGGCGACGAUCCGUAACUGGUCUGAGAGGAUGAUCAGUCACACUGGAACUGAGACACGGUCCAGACUCCUAAGGGAGGCAGCAGUGGGGAAUAUUGGACAAUGGGCGAAAGCCUGAUCCAGCCAUGCCGCGUGUGUGAAGAAGGUCUUCGGAUUGUAAAGCACUUUAAGUUGGGAGGAAGGGCAGUAAGUUAAUACCUUGCUGUUUUGACGUUACCAACAGAAUAAGCACCGGCUAACUUCGUG
Molecule: ribosomal RNA, 484 nt
Filed under: uncultured bacterium
Lineage: Bacteria
Description: partial 16S ribosomal RNA
Rfam family: Bacterial small subunit ribosomal RNA
Source: RNAcentral